CGGGCCCCGCCGCGCGCCCGCCGCCGCCGCCGGGCCGUGACCUUCAGGGACGGAGCGCGCAGAGCGGGGCCCCUGAGGGUGCGGAGAGAGCUGGUGGACACGGAGUCUCUGUUCAGCUGUGCUACGGAGGUUGUGACGACAUCUCCAUCGCGGGCCACCCCCGGCGGCCCAGGACUCCAAUGUGAAGGGGCGGCGGAUCCCGGCAGCUCAGUGCGCGGCCCUUUUCUGGAGACUGCGGAGCAGCGUGGCCUCCCAGCCACACUGUGGGGGUGAAGGGUGGGGUGGGCACCCAGGGGGUUAGAGCCAUUGCCCUGUCACUCAUGAUGCCAAGCCAUUCCCAGGCGGCCAGGACUCACAGGCACUGCCUCCUCGGGGCCACGCUGCCGUCUGCCCCCUCCAUACCCACUUGUGUUCCCAGCCAGCCACCCCGCCCGCCCGCCCGGCCCCUUCUGUUGUGAAGUUCUCAUCAGCCUUCCCCUUGUGCAGAGUCUCACCUGACAGGGGUCCCGACGCCCGUCGGAAGGGUUUGUCCUGUCCCCCAAGGCCAGACAAGUUCAGGGGACAGUCCCCUCCAGCUUAAACCAUCGUUGAGGUAGUUGCCACGGGGGCCUGGGCCACGUAAUCUCAGAAGCAGUGCAGCCGUGGAAGGCACGGGAAGCACGCCCAGCGCUGUCCGGUCCCCUCGUGUGUGCUGAGCCCCGGAAGGCACAGCCGCCCUCUGAGGUGCAGACUAGACUUCGCACAUGCAAUGCGACAGCUCCGCCGAAUUCCAGACGCGCGUCUAGCAGUAGCUCAUUGGGACCCGACGCCACGCGCCAGGCGCUUUCGUGGGGGCGCCCCGCGGGCAAGCGGCCCUGCCUCGGCCGGCCACCGCGAAGGACAGCUGUCUUCCCUCCGCUUUGUUCAAAGGAAAAUCCAGGUGGGCCCCGCCGGGUGGGGCGUGCGCGUCUCCAGGAAUGUCCGCGGCCUCGAGCCACCCGGCCACACCCGCCCGCCCGCCCCGUCCGUACGCGCCCGGUGAGCAGCCACGCUCUCCUUCCUCGCGAGCAUCCUUCUCUUCCGCAGGUGUGAUGUCCGUACGGCGCCUUCCGUGUUGUUUUGUUAUAGCUUCCGCCUCCUCGCGUGGAGAGAGGCCGUAAAGACAAAGCUCAGACAUUAUGGCUAUUCCAGAAAAUAAAAUAUUUUUGAAACCGCA
This is a long non-coding RNA of Hyaena hyaena (striped hyena), 1195 nucleotides long. RefSeq lists it as uncharacterized. The record is from RefSeq and is a predicted model, not a curated record. Lineage: Eukaryota; Metazoa; Chordata; Mammalia; Carnivora; Hyaenidae. The transcript is spliced from 2 exons.